UCCUAAGGGGGAGUCGACUCGCGCAUUAGCGGGAGUCGACUCGCAAAGUUGGCAGCUGAGGGGGAGUCGACUCGCACACUGUCGGGAGUCGACUCGAAGUCUACAUGCGCUAACAGAGAGUCGACUCGCGCAUAUUCUGGAGUCAACUCGAGGUCGAGUCGACUCGCGACUCAGGGGAGUCGACUCGCAGUCGGGAUCCGACUUUUUAACCCUAGGUUUGUCGUUUCGCAAACACUUUUCCUCAAGCCGCCACUGUUCACAAAGCCCUAGAGCCGACUCCUAGGUCAUCCCCGAUCGUCUCCAAGCCCUUUUCCCGUCGAUUCUUCGCCGGACAUUGAGUUUCCGUCCGUUCCUAGGUCAUUUCUGGUCCGUCCCGAGCUUCCUCUGUCGGUUCUUCACCGUCCUCUAGGUAUUUUUCUUCCCGUUUAAGUCAAGAUGCCUCGUAAGACCGUCGUUAGGAAGAGGUCCCAUCCCGAGGCCGGUCCCGAGCGACGCUCCAAGGCGCGGCACGAUCCCGCGAGGCAACCACCUCCGGAUCGGUCCCCGCCUAGGGUGGUUCUCGUUAGGCCGUUGGCCGGGAAGGCCGUCAC
This 590-nucleotide long non-coding RNA is filed under the name Phoenix dactylifera (date palm). RNAcentral describes it as "long non-coding RNA (PDAC_LNC012070)". The record is from RNAcentral. Lineage: Eukaryota; Viridiplantae; Streptophyta; Magnoliopsida; Arecales; Arecaceae.